GACGAACGCUGGCGGCGUGCCUAAUACAUGCAAGUUGAGCGCUGAAGGUUGGUACUUGUACCAACUGGAUGAGCAGCGAACGGGUGAGUAACGCGUGGGGAAUCUGCCUUUGAGCGGGGGACAACAUUUGGAAACGAAUGCUAAUACCGCAUAAAAACUUUAAACACAAGUUUCAAGUUUGAAAGAUGCAAUUGCAUCACUCAAAGAUGAUCCCGCGUUGUAUUAGCUAGGUGGUGAGGUAAAGGCUCACCAAGGCGAUGAUACAUAGCCGACCUGAGAGGGGGAUUGGCCACAAUGGGACUGAGACAAGGCCCAAACUUCUACGGGAGGGAGCAGGAGGGGAUCUUCGGCAAUGGACGAAAGUCUGAACGAAGAACGGCGGGUGAGUGAAGAAGGGUUUCGGAUCGUAAAACUCUGUUGGUAGAGAAGAACGUCGGUGAGAGUGGAAAGCUCAUCAAGUGACGGUAACUACCCAGAAAGGGACGGCUAACUACGUG
RNAcentral lists this ribosomal RNA (497 nucleotides) under uncultured bacterium. RNAcentral describes it as "partial 16S ribosomal RNA". It matches the Rfam family "Bacterial small subunit ribosomal RNA", at positions 28 to 507 of the family's 1533-position model. The record is from RNAcentral.